GAUGAACGCUGGCGGCGUGCCUAAUACAUGCAAGUAGAACGCUGAAGGAAGGAGCUUGCUCUUUCCGGAUGAGUUGCGAACGGGUGAGUAACGCGUAGGUAACCUGCCUGGUAGCGGGGGAUAACUAUUGGAAACGAUAGCUAAUACCGCAUAACAGUAGAUGUUGCAUGAUAUCUACUUAAAAGGUGCAAUUGCACCACUACCAGAUGGACCUGCGUUGUAUUAGCUAGUUGGUGAGGUAACGGCUCACCAAGGCGACGAUACAUAGCCGACCUGAGAGGGUGAUCGGCCACACUGGGACUGAGACACGGCCCAGACUCCUACGGGAGGCAGCAGUAGGGAAUCUUCGGCAAUGGACGGAAGUCUGACCGAGCAACGCCGCGGGAGUGAAGAAGGGUGUCGGAUCGUAAAGCUCUGUUGUAAGAGAAGAACGAGUGUGAGAGUGGAAAGUUCACACUGUGACGGUAUCUUACCAGAAAGGGACGGCUAACUACGUG
RNAcentral lists this ribosomal RNA (497 nucleotides) under uncultured bacterium. Its description in RNAcentral is "partial 16S ribosomal RNA". It matches the Rfam family "Bacterial small subunit ribosomal RNA", at positions 28 to 507 of the family's 1533-position model. The record is from RNAcentral.